UACGAAGGGGGCUAGCGUUGCUCGGAAUUACUGGGCGUAAAGCGCACGUAGGCGGCUUGUUAAGUCAGGGGUGAAAUCCUGGAGCUCAACCUCCAGAACUGCCUUUGAUACUGGCGAGCUUGAGUUCGGGAGAGGUGAGUGGAACUGCGAGUGUAGAGGUGAAAUUCGUAGAUAUUCGCAAGAACACCAGUGGCGAAGGCGGCUCACUGGCCCGAUACUGACGCUGAGGUGCGAAAGCGUGGGGAGCAAACAGG
Molecule: ribosomal RNA, 254 nt
Filed under: uncultured bacterium
Lineage: Bacteria
Description: partial 16S ribosomal RNA
Rfam family: Bacterial small subunit ribosomal RNA
Source: RNAcentral